UACGGAGGGUGCAAACGUUGCUCGGAAUUAUUGGGCGUAAAGCGCACGUAGGCGGUCUUUUAAGUCGGAUGUGAAAGCCCCGGGCUCAACCCGGGAAGUGCAUUCGAAACUGGGAGGCUAGAGUACAGAAGAGGGUCUCGGAAUUCCCGGUGUAGAGGUGAAAUUCGUAGAUAUCGGGAGGAACACCAGUGGCGAAGGCGGAGACCUGGGCUGAUACUGACGCUGAGGUGCGAAAGCGUGGGGAGCAAACAGG
RNAcentral lists this ribosomal RNA (253 nucleotides) under uncultured bacterium. RNAcentral describes it as "partial 16S ribosomal RNA". It matches the Rfam family "Bacterial small subunit ribosomal RNA", at positions 524 to 776 of the family's 1533-position model. The record is from RNAcentral.